Molecule: ribosomal RNA, 544 nt
Filed under: uncultured fungus
Lineage: Eukaryota; Fungi
Description: eukaryotic LSU rRNA
Rfam family: 5.8S ribosomal RNA (bases 188-341)
Source: RNAcentral
GUCGUAACAAGGUUUCCGUAGGUGAACCUGCGGAAGGAUCAUUACCUAGAGUUUGUGGACUUCGGUCUGCUACCUCUUACCCAUGUCUUUUGAGUACCUUCGUUUCCUCGGCGGGUCCGCCCGCCGGUUGGACAACAUUCAAACCCUUUGCAGUUGCAAUCAGCGUCUGAAAAAACUUAAUAGUUACAACUUUCAACAACGGAUCUCUUGGUUCUGGCAUCGAUGAAGAACGCAGCGAAAUGCGAUAAGUAGUGUGAAUUGCAGAAUUCAGUGAAUCAUCGAAUCUUUGAACGCACAUUGCGCCCCUUGGUAUUCCAUGGGGCAUGCCUGUUCGAGCGUCAUUUGUACCUUCAAGCUCUGCUUGGUGUUGGGUGUUUUGUCUCGCCUCCGCGCGCAGACUCGCCUUAAAACAAUUGGCAGCCGGCGUAUUGAUUUCGGAGCGCAGUACAUCUCGCGCUUUGCACUCAUAACGACGACGUCCAAAAGUACAUUUUUACACACUUGACCUCGGAUCAGGUAGGGAUACCCGCUGAACUUAAGCAUA